This 421-nucleotide ribosomal RNA is filed under the name uncultured bacterium. RNAcentral's name for it is "bacterial SSU rRNA". It matches the Rfam family "Bacterial small subunit ribosomal RNA", at positions 362 to 775 of the family's 1533-position model. The record is from RNAcentral.
UAUUGGACAAUGGGGGCAACCCUGAUCCAGCCAUGCCGCGUGUGUGAAGAAGGCCUUGUGGUUGUAAAGCACUUUAAGCUUUGAAGAAGACUCCGUGGUUAAUACCCACGGACGAUGACAUUAGCUGCAGAAUAAGCACCGGCUAACUCUGUGCCAGCAGCCGCGGUAAUACAGAGGGUGCAAGCGUUAAUCGGAAUUACUGGGCGUAAAGCGAGCGUAGGUGGCUUGAUAAGUCAGAUGUGAAAUCCCCGGGCUUAACCUGGGAACUGCAUCUGAUACUGUUAGGCUGGAAUAGGUGAAAGGAAGGUAGAAUUCCAGGUGUAGCGGUGAAAUGCGUAGAGAUCUGGAGGAAUACCGAUGGCGAAGGCAGCCUUCUGGCAUCGUAUUGACACUGAGGUUCGAAAGCGUGGGUGGCAAACAG